UACGUAGGGUGCAAGCGUUGUCCGGAAUUAUUGGGCGUAAAGAGCUCGUAGGCGGUCUGUCGCGUCGGAUGUGAAAAUCCAGGGCUCAACCCUGGACCUGCAUUCGAUACGGGCAGACUAGAGUUCGGCAGGGGAGACUGGAAUUCCUGGUGUAGCGGUGAAAUGCGCAGAUAUCAGGAGGAACACCGGUGGCGAAGGCGGGUCUCUGGGCCGAAACUGACGCUGGAGGAGCGAAAGCGUGGGGAGCAAACAGG
RNAcentral lists this ribosomal RNA (254 nucleotides) under uncultured bacterium. RNAcentral describes it as "partial 16S ribosomal RNA". It matches the Rfam family "Bacterial small subunit ribosomal RNA", at positions 524 to 776 of the family's 1533-position model. The record is from RNAcentral.